RNAcentral lists this transfer RNA (77 nucleotides) under Streptomyces noursei. RNAcentral's name for it is "tRNA-OTHER". It matches the Rfam family "tRNA". Rfam says of the family: Transfer RNA (tRNA) molecules are approximately 80 nucleotides in length. Their secondary structure includes four short double-helical elements and three loops (D, anti-codon, and T loops). Further hydrogen bonds mediate the characteristic L-shaped molecular structure. tRNAs have two regions of fundamental functional importance: the anti-codon, which is responsible for specific mRNA codon recognition, and the 3' end, to which the tRNAs corresponding amino acid is attached (by aminoacyl-tRNA synthetases). tRNAs cope with the degeneracy of the genetic code in two manners: having more than one tRNA (with a specific anti-codon) for a particular amino acid; and 'wobble' base-pairing, i.e. permitting non-standard base-pairing at the 3rd anti-codon position. Lineage: Bacteria; Bacillati; Actinomycetota; Actinomycetes; Kitasatosporales; Streptomycetaceae. The record is from RNAcentral.
CGAGGGAUUAGCUCAGCAGUACAGAGCAAAGGUUCAUAUCCCUCCGGUCGCGGGUUCAAGUCCCGCACGCUCACCCA